This 2011-nucleotide small RNA is filed under the name Pongo abelii (Sumatran orangutan). Its description in RNAcentral is "retained intron". The record is from RNAcentral. Lineage: Eukaryota; Metazoa; Chordata; Mammalia; Primates; Hominidae.
AAAGGCCGGUUUCUACCCGAUGAUCUCUUGGGCCCCGUCCCGAGAGUGAGGCACGGCGCCACCAGGCACCCCCGAUAUGCAGCGUGUUGUGAAGUGCCCUUGUGAGCAGCGGGGGAUAGGGAACAGGAAACCAGCCGUCAGCGACGGCGAGGUGGUGCCCCAGAGAGGGCUGCCUCAUUCGCCUGGGUGCAGGUUCCGAGGUCGUCUUGGUAGCAUUUGGCAGGAAUUUAUUCAGGAAGCAUUCAGCAAACCGAGUGUGUGUGGUGCUGGGAGAUGACGAUGAAAUGGCCCUGCCCCCAAGGAAGCCCCUCCCCUGGGGGCACAGGUGGGGAAGGAGGUCAUGAGCUUUCUGUGUGUGACAACUGCUGAUGGGAAUGCUAUUGGCAUGUACAAGGGGUGCCUGUCCGUGUCUUGGGAGAGCAAGGAAGGCUUCCUGGAGGAGUUGCUGCCAAGUUGGCCCAGAAGGAUGAGGAGGAGUUCUUCUGGUGAAGUGGGGAGGGCAGAGGCAGUAUGGUCCCUACAGAGCGUGUGGGGACACUCGUGUUCUUCCAGAGGAUGGAAUGCUGGGCCCGAAGCCCGAAGUAUUGUUAGGGCAGAGACAGGCGGGAGGUGCGUGGAGAAGGGGUCAUGGAGGUCUUGUUGGGCAGAUGGUGGUGGGACGUCCCAGGCAGGGGGAGCAUCUUGGGCAAGAGCCCAGGGUGCGAGGUCAUGCUUAUGGCACAUUGGACCAGCUGGAGGGCAGCCAGCUCAGGAGAGCAGCCGGCCAGGGUGUCUGCCCACGUGUGGGGCAGGGACGGGCUGCAGCGGGGAGGGAUUUGGGAGCUUCUGUCACAGUCCUGCAGGGAGUGGGAGCUGUGCAAGAAGGAAGGGCGGAGCGGCUAUGAUCCAAUGGCUUUGGGAAGGCCAGUCCUGUGAUGGAGUGGGGGAAGACAGACCCCAGGCCAGGGGUCCUGAGUCAAGGCAGUGGCUGAGGAGGCAUUGGGGAAGGUGAUUUGGAGAGGCUUUGGGGGCAGGUCCUGGGGGUCCGGAAGGGCUCUGGGCCAAGAAUUUUCAGACUCCUGGGAGCAUCAGAAUCAACUGGAGGGCUUGUUAAAGCAAAGCUUGCCCCCAGCCUCAGGCAGCUGGGCAGCAGGAAUCUGCAUUUCUAACAGGCUCCCAGGGGAUGCUGACUUGCUGGCCAGGGUCCCACACUUUGAGAAGCCCCGCCUGAGGCUUAUGGGACAGGGCAGGUUCUUGAGCCAUCGAGUUGGGCAAUGCCAUGGGAAGUUGCAGGUGCACAGACGUUGCCUUCCUGGCUGCGGUUGAACCUGGGCUCCGUUUGUCCCCUUGGAGCUCCAAGCAGCUGGGCCGGCUUCGACCCUGAGCUCUCCUGUCUGAUUUCCUUUCCAGGUGGCACGUCUCUGAGCUUCCUGGUGUUGGUGACAGGCUGCACAUCUGUGGGCAGAAUUCCAGAUGCUGAAAUCUACAAAAUCACCGCCACCGACUUUUACCCUCUUCAGGAAGACGCCAAGGAGGAGGAACGCCUCAUAGCUUUGAAGAAAAUCCUCAGCUCGGGGGUGUUCUAUUUCUCAUGGCCAAACGAUGGGUCUCGCUUUGACCUGACUGUCCGCACGCAGAAGCAAGGGGAUGACAGCUCUGAAUGGGGGAACUCCUUCUUCUGGUGAGGCCCUGGGUCCUCUGCAGAGGGUGGGCCCUGGUUGGCACCUGAGGCCUUGACCUCCACUUGCACCACCCCCGGGUUAUGGGGCACCUCUGGAGAGUUAGGACCCAGGCCUGCUCUCAGCACAAUGAGAGGAAAACUAACCCUGAACUCCCCGCCACCCCCCACCCCUGGCUCCUGGAAUGUAUUCAGUGUAGAUUUGGAAAAGAAACCUGGGCCAGGCAUGGUGGCUCAUGCCUGUAAUCCCAGCAUUUUGGGAGGCUGAGGCAGGUGGAUCACUUAAGGUGAGGAGUUUGAGACAAGCCUGGCCAACAUGGCGAAACCCCAUCUCUACUAAAAAUACAAAAAAAA